This 406-nucleotide ribosomal RNA is filed under the name uncultured bacterium. RNAcentral's name for it is "partial 16S ribosomal RNA". It matches the Rfam family "Bacterial small subunit ribosomal RNA", at positions 28 to 526 of the family's 1533-position model. The record is from RNAcentral.
GACGAACGCUGGCGGCGUGCCUAAUACAUGCAAGUCGAACGAGUGGCGGACGGGUGAGUAACACGUGGGAACCUACCCAUCAGAGGGGGAUAACACUUGGAAACAGGUGCUAAUACCGCAUAUUGAUGGAUGGCCCCGCGGUGCAUUAGCUAGUAGGUGGGGUAACGGCUCACCUAGGCGACGAUCCCUAGCUGGUCUGAGAGGAUGACCAGCCACACUGGGACUGAGACACGGUCCAGACUCCUACGGGAGGCAGCAGUGGGGAAUAUUGCACAAUGGGCGCAAGCCUGAUGCAGCCAGGCCGCGUGUGUGAAGAAGGCCUUCGGGUUGUAAAGCACUUUCAGCGGGGAGGCGUUACCCGCAGAAGAAGCACCGGCUAACUCCGUGCCAGCAGCCGCGGUAAUUC